This 59-nucleotide transfer RNA is filed under the name Sindiplozoon sp. DZ-2018. RNAcentral describes it as "tRNA-Ser". Lineage: Eukaryota; Metazoa; Platyhelminthes; Monogenea; Mazocraeidea; Diplozoidae. The record is from RNAcentral.
GGGGGCAUUUAUCUGUUACUGCUAAUAAUGGUUUGGUUAUUUUGUUUUGCCUGCUCCUU